Long non-coding RNA from Equus caballus (horse), 279 nucleotides. RefSeq lists it as uncharacterized. The record is from RefSeq and is a predicted model, not a curated record. Lineage: Eukaryota; Metazoa; Chordata; Mammalia; Perissodactyla; Equidae.
UGUAAGUUCAAACUGCAUAAAACGAAGUCAAUAUGGUAUGCAGAAGAUUUAUUUUUAUUUCUCUAGAAUACCGGUCAAAAGUUUCUAUCCAGAGUGACCAGUAGGAAAACUUCAAGAAAAAGAGAACUCCAUGCAUAGCAGGAUUUAAGCUGAUCCACAUCAGAGUUACUUUCUGGCAAGACUCUGAUUCCCCGACCAUAACUGGUACCUCCAUGGAGAUGAAACUCAAGAGCUAAUGAUGUUGCCUGGUUCUCCGAAUUCACUGACUGAAGUUUGGUA